AGGGAAUAUUCCACAAUGGGCGAAAGCCUGAUGGAGCAACGCCGCGUGAGUGAAGAAGGUUUUCGGAUCGUAAAACUCUGUUGUAAGGGAAGAACAAGUACAGUAGUAACUGGCUGUACCUUGACGGUACCUUAUUAGAAAGCCACGGCUAACUACGUGCCAGCAGCCGCGGUAAUACGUAGGUGGCAAGCGUUGUCCGGAAUUAUUGGGCGUAAAGCGCGCGCAGGCGGUCCUUUAAGUCUGAUGUGAAAGCCCACGGCUCAACCGUGGAGGGUCAUUGGAAACUGGAGGACUUGAGUGCAGAAGAGGAAAGUGGAAUUCCAAGUGUAGCGGUGAAAUGCGUAGAGAUUUGGAGGAACACCAGUGGCGAAGGCGACUUUCUGGUCUGUAACUGACGCUGAGGCGCGAAAGCGUGGGGAGCAAAC
RNAcentral lists this ribosomal RNA (425 nucleotides) under uncultured bacterium. Its description in RNAcentral is "bacterial SSU rRNA". It matches the Rfam family "Bacterial small subunit ribosomal RNA", at positions 356 to 773 of the family's 1533-position model. The record is from RNAcentral.